RNAcentral lists this ribosomal RNA (252 nucleotides) under uncultured prokaryote. RNAcentral's name for it is "partial 16S ribosomal RNA". It matches the Rfam family "Bacterial small subunit ribosomal RNA", at positions 523 to 774 of the family's 1533-position model. The record is from RNAcentral.
AUACAGAGGUCUCAAGCGUUGUUCGGAUUCAUUGGGCGUAAAGGGUGCGUAGGUGGCGCGGUAAGUCGGGUGUGAAAUCCCGGAGCUUAACUCCGAAAUUGCAUUCGAUACUGCCGUGCUUGAGGACUGGAGAGGAGACUGGAAUUCAUGGUGUAGCAGUGAAAUGCGUAGAGAUCAUGAGGAAGACCAGUGGCGAAGGCGGGUCUCUGGACAGUUCCUGACGCUGAGGCGCGAAAGCUAGGGGAGCAAACG